This 615-nucleotide ribosomal RNA is filed under the name uncultured bacterium. RNAcentral describes it as "bacterial SSU rRNA". It matches the Rfam family "Bacterial small subunit ribosomal RNA", at positions 338 to 947 of the family's 1533-position model. The record is from RNAcentral.
CCUACGGGAGGCAGCAGUGGGGAAUUUUGGACAAUGGGCGAAAGCCUGAUCCAGCAAUGCCGCGUGUGGGAAGAAGGCCUUCGGGUUGUAAACCACUUUUGUACGGAACGAAACGGUUCGCUUUAAUACAGUGGGCUAAUGACGGUACCGUAAGAAUAAGCACCGGCUAACUACGUGCCAGCAGCCGCGGUAAUACGUAGGGUGCGAGCGUUAAUCGGAAUUACUGGGCGUAAAGCGUGCGCAGGCGGUUAUAUAAGACAGUUGUGAAAUCCCCGGGCUCAACCUGGGAAUUGCAUCUGUGACUGUAUAGCUAGAGUACGGUAGAGGGGGAUGGAAUUCCGCGUGUAGCAGUGAAAUGCGUAGAUAUGCGGAGGAACACCGAUGGCGAAGGCAAUCCCCUGGACCUGUACUGACGCUCAUGCACGAAAGCGUGGGGAGCAAACAGGAUUAGAUACCCUGGUAGUCCACGCCCUAAACGAUGUCAACUGGUUGUUGGGUGCAUUAGUACUCAGUAACGAAGCUAACGCGUGAAGUUGACCGCCUGGGGAGUACGGCCGCAAGGUUGAACUCAAAGGAAUUGACGGCUGAGAGNGCGAGACGACGACGAGGGAGAGG